RNAcentral lists this ribosomal RNA (253 nucleotides) under uncultured bacterium. RNAcentral's name for it is "partial 16S ribosomal RNA". It matches the Rfam family "Bacterial small subunit ribosomal RNA", at positions 524 to 776 of the family's 1533-position model. The record is from RNAcentral.
UACGAAGGGGGCUAGCGUUGCUCGGAAUCACUGGGCGUAAAGGGUGCGUAGGCGGGUCUUUAAGUCAGGGGUGAAAUCCUGGAGCUCAACUCCAGAACUGCCUUUGAUACUGAGGAUCUUGAGUCCGGGAGAGGUGAGUGGAACUGCGAGUGUAGAGGUGAAAUUCGUAGAUAUUCGCAAGAACACCAGUGGCGAAGGCGGCUCACUGGCCCGGUACUGACGCUGAGGCACGAAGGUCAGGGGAGCAAACGGG